Molecule: long non-coding RNA, 225 nt
Organism: Sinocyclocheilus rhinocerous
Lineage: Eukaryota; Metazoa; Chordata; Actinopteri; Cypriniformes; Cyprinidae
Exons: 3
Source: RefSeq, a predicted model, not a curated record
GACUUUCAGAGUCAGCUGAAGACGGACGGACUGUUCAGAACAUCACAUUGUUGGACUGGAGAAAGAGCCUCAUUUAAAAGCACAAGUUAUUCAGCAAAUUUCUUGGUUACCUUAAGGGCUUCAACUAACCAAGCUUCAACUGGCAGAUUCUCAACCAUUUCCUGAAAGGUGAGAUAUAUGCAAUGUCAUUUUAGUCCAUCACUGUUUUUAAAAGCAUAUUCAAAA